GUACAUACGCUGAAGAGAAGGAGUACAUGUUAUCGGAAAUACAGAGAGCUUUUGGAUGGUGUAAGAAAGCAUGAGGAUACAUGGAAGGUAGUCUUGGAGUUGAUAUUCUGAAAAGUGCAGUAGGAAUAUUCGGGUUGGCACAUCGUUAUUCGUGCUGUAGAGGCAUAUAAAAGUAUGCGAAGUAAGGUGGUACCACGUUCAUCACGUCCUUAUA
This 214-nucleotide non-coding RNA is filed under the name Eubacterium sp. Its description in RNAcentral is "T-box sequence". It matches the Rfam family "T-box leader". Rfam says of the family: Uncharged tRNA acts as the effector for transcription antitermination of genes in the T-box leader family. Lineage: Bacteria; Bacillati; Bacillota; Clostridia; Eubacteriales; Eubacteriaceae. The record is from RNAcentral.